GAUGAACGCUGGCGGCGUGCCUAAUACAUGCAAGUCGAGCGAAUGGAUCAAGAGCUUGCUCUUAUGAAGUUAGCGGCGGACGGGUGAGUAACACGUGGGUAACCUGCCCAUAAGACUGGGAUAACUCCGGGAAACCGGGGCUAAUACCGGAUAACAUUUUGAACCGCAUGGUUCGAAAUUGAAAGGCGGCUUCGGCUGUCACUUAUGGAUGGACCCGCGUCGCAUUAGGUAGUUGGUGAGGUAACGGCUCACCAAAGCAACGAUGCGGAGCCGACCUUAGAGGGUGAUCGGCCACACUGGGACUGAGACACGGCCCAGACUCCUACGGGAGGCAGCAGUAGGGAAUCUUCCGCGAUGGACGAAAGUCUGACGGAGCAACGCCGCGUGAGUGAUGAAGGCUUUCGGGUCGUAAAACUCUGUUGUUAGGGAAGAACAAGUGCUAGUUGAAUAAGCUGGCACCUUGACGGUACCUAACCAGAAAGCCACGGCUAACUACGUGCCAGCCGCCGCAGUAA
RNAcentral lists this ribosomal RNA (515 nucleotides) under uncultured bacterium. RNAcentral's name for it is "partial 16S ribosomal RNA". It matches the Rfam family "Bacterial small subunit ribosomal RNA", at positions 28 to 523 of the family's 1533-position model. The record is from RNAcentral.